Molecule: ribosomal RNA, 659 nt
Filed under: Fictibacillus phosphorivorans
Lineage: Bacteria; Bacillati; Bacillota; Bacilli; Caryophanales; Fictibacillaceae
Description: bacterial SSU rRNA
Rfam family: Bacterial small subunit ribosomal RNA
Source: RNAcentral
GCAAGUCGAGCGAAUGAUGAGGAGCUUGCUCCUCUGAUUUAGCGGCGGACGGGUGAGUAACACGUGGGUAAUCUGCCUGUAAGACGGGGAUAACUCCGGGAAACCGGGGCUAAUACCGGAUAAUAAGAGAAGAAGCAUUUCUUCUUUUUGAAAGUCGGUUUCGGCUGACACUUACAGAUGAGCCCGCGGCGCAUUAGCUAGUUGGUGAGGUAACGGCUCACCAAGGCGACGAUGCGUAGCCGACCUGAGAGGGUGAUCGGCCACACUGGGACUGAGACACGGCCCAGACUCCUACGGGAGGCAGCAGUAGGGAAUCUUCGGCAAUGGGCGAAAGCCUGACCGAGCAACGCCGCGUGAGCGAUGAAGGCCUUCGGGUCGUAAAGCUCUGUUGUUAGAGAAGAACAAGUACGAGAGUAACUGCUCGUACCUUGACGGUACCUAACCAGAAAGCCACGGCUAACUACGUGCCAGCAGCCGCGGUAAUACGUAGGUGGCAAGCGUUAUCCGGAAUUAUUGGGCGUAAAGCGCGCGCAGGCGGUCUCUUAAGUCUGAUGUGAAAGCCCACGGCUCAACCGUGGAGGGUCAUUGGAAACUGGGAGACUUGAGUGCAGGAGAGAAAAGUGGAAUUCCACGUGUAGCGGUGAAAUGCGUAGAGAUGU